CCUACGGGAGGCAGCAGUGGGGAAUAUUGGGCAAUGGAGGAAACUCUGACCCAGCGACGCCGCGUGCGGGAUGAAGGCCUUCGGGUUGUAAACCGCUUUCAGCAGGGAAGAAGCGAAAGUGACGGUACCUGCAGAAGAAGCACCGGCUAACUAUGUGCCAGCAGCCGCGGUAAUACAUAGGGUGCAAGCGUUGUCCGGAAUUAUUGGGCGUAAAGAGCUCGUAGGUGGUUCGUCACGUCGGAUGUGAAAAUCUGGGGCUUAACCCCAGACCUGCAUUCGAUACGGGCGAGCUUGAGUAUGGUAGGGGAGUCUGGAAUUCCUGGUGUAGCGGUGGAAUGCGCAGAUAUCAGGAGGAACACCAAUGGCGAAGGCAGGACUCUGGGCCAUUACUGACACUGAGGAGCGAAAGCGUGGGGAGCGAACAGGAUUAGAUACCCUGGUAGUCCACGCCGUAAACGGUGGGCACUAGUUGUGGGGACCCUUCCACGGUCUCUGCGACGCAGCUACGCAUUAAGUGCCCCGCCGUCGGGGAGGUACGACGUCGCGAAGAAUUAAAACGUUAAAACGGUAAAGUUAGUACGGCGUGAGACGUGCCGAACGGACGACCGACGAGGGGAGGUAGG
This 623-nucleotide ribosomal RNA is filed under the name uncultured bacterium. RNAcentral's name for it is "bacterial SSU rRNA". The stretch from base 1 to 524 matches the Rfam family "Bacterial small subunit ribosomal RNA", at positions 338 to 873 of the family's 1533-position model. The record is from RNAcentral.